This is an RNA transcript of Sorghum bicolor (sorghum), 1944 nucleotides long. RefSeq lists it as uncharacterized. The transcript has 5 exons. Lineage: Eukaryota; Viridiplantae; Streptophyta; Magnoliopsida; Poales; Poaceae. The record is from RefSeq and is a predicted model, not a curated record.
CUCCCCAAAACAUUUCAAUUUUCAUGAAACUCGCUCCGUGUCCCUGCGAAAUCCUAUCAGUUUCCGCAAACACCAUUUCCAGCCCUACCACAAAGCCGCACCGCCGCCGCCGCCGCGUUAAGCCAUACACCGCAGUCCCGCUGCCCCGGCCCUCAUCCUCCCAUCCUCGCCCCAACCCCUACUGAUGAGCCUUUUGCUCACAUGUCGACAAGCUGCUCCAUAGUUAACCGCCGAUGCCGCACGAGCUCCCUUGACCGUAGCCUCUCCUAUGUUGGGGCGGGUUGGGGGUGAAUCGGUGGAAAGAUACUGUCGCUUAGCGUCCUGUGAUUGUUCAUCGCCAAUUCCUGCAGUCCCAUCGCGAACUACCGGAGAAAGAAGCGGCGACUCGGCAGGCGAUGCUUUUGCUGUUGUCAUCCCACUACAGUUGUAUCUGCACGGUGGGCAGGGAUCGACACCGCACAGUCGACGAACACGAUCUGGCUACAAAAUGUCGAUUGGGGAGACGGACUCGCUGUUGCCACUGAAUCCACCGCUGGACUCCUAUGCACAAGAACCACAGGGAGCUGUUCCGUAAUAAGCAUUUUUGGAGGUGAGCAAGGUGCUGAAGAAGGCGUAGGCCACAGGGAAGAAGGUGGAGCUGUGGCCAUGCUUAGUCAAUUCAUUGACUUUGCAACAUCCAUGUUUCUUUUUUUUUUUUACAUGGCCUUUCAAUAUACAGUCACUUAUUGUAGAAUGAUGAGAAGUCACUCACAGUUACAGACCGAGUUGCUGAAUUUUAGUUUUGCAUGGCUAACAGGUGGUGUUGGCUGAUCUUUGCCUUAUGCUUUUUCUUGUGACUUGUGAUAUAAAUUUGUUACAAUCUUGCUGUGAUGACCUGACAUGUGAGUGUGGCUGAGUGUCAGAAACUAAGAACUCAAUUGAGAACUUGACACCUUGACAUCAAUAGAAACUGACAACUCAACUGAGUCUAGCAAUCCUGCUCCAUCCUCCUCUAUAGAAAUCAAUAUGUGCUUUGUUCUCCAAAAAUAAAUAAUGUGUGCUCUUGUAAAUAACAGAGUUAAAUGUUUCAGAUUGCUUUGUCUGAUAGUGCCAGACUGCUAGAUGAUGCAUUUGUUAAAUCACUUUAUUCAUGUUAGGUGUGUGUUGGUGUGUAUUAUUGUAUUACGCACUUAGGUUGUUAGCUCUAGCACUUAGAUUAUUAAUUCUGAAAGUCUGAAAUAUGAAUAUAGCAAGUACACAGUUAUAUGCUUCUUGUCACCUAUUUUUCAUGUCCCCAUUUAGAAUUGGAGAGAUUGAUGGAUAGUAAAAGUAUGUGGUUGCAACUGCAUAUUUAAUUUUAUACUGAGUACUAAGAACUGAGGUCUGACAUAACUUUAGUUUGUUAUUUAGCAAAUUAAAAAUGGAUAAUCAUUAUUGGACAAUGAAUCUAGUCAUCUAGUGGCUAUGUAUAAGAGGUGUGGUUUGGUGGCAGCCUAAUAUGAAUCUUUGUGGCCUAAUCGGGUUUUGUUCAGACCAUGUAGAACGAUAAUUUCUACUGAAAGCUAAUUUAUUUAUUUAUUUUGAUAUUUUUGUUGUAGGUAUUGUUAGUGGAAGCGGCUUCCGCUUCUUGACCCUCUUCCUGCCUUUGCCAGGUGACCAGCUGCAGGCAAGAGUUCCACCACCAGUGUGUCCUUGAGUGGAGGAAGCUGGAGGUUAAGUGGAGCACACGAGUGAUAUGAUGGUCAACAUCAAGCCAACCUUCUUUGCACUGCUAGACAUGGCUUAUUAGAUUUUGAUAUGAAGUGUGUUUGAUAUCUUAUGUGUGAGUUGUGCAUGUGUCUAAGCCAAAUAUGAGAUGAUUUGUACAAACAAAGCAUAUUAUGCAUUAGUGUUUGUCUAAAUGCUUUAUUGACCAUAAAUUAUUGUUCUAAAAGUUUAUGUAUAUUUUGUUUCAUGGUUGCAAUA